RNAcentral lists this unclassified non-coding RNA (343 nucleotides) under soil metagenome. RNAcentral's name for it is "partial contains 5.8S ribosomal RNA, internal transcribed spacer 2, and large subunit ribosomal RNA". The stretch from base 1 to 120 matches the Rfam family "5.8S ribosomal RNA", at positions 35 to 154 of the family's 154-position model. The record is from RNAcentral.
GAUGAAGAACGCAGCGAAAUGCGAUAAGUAAUGUGAAUUGCAGAAUUCAGUGAAUCAUCGAAUCUUUGAACGCACAUUGCGCCCGCUAGUAUUCUGGCGGGCAUGCCUGUCCGAGCGUCAUUUCAACCCUCAAGCCCCCGGGCUUGGUGUUGGGGAUCGGCGAGCCUCCGCGCCCGCCGUCCCCUAAAUCUAGUGGCGGUCUCGCUGUAGCUUCCUCUGCGUAGUAGCACACCUCGCACUGGGAAACAGCGCGGCCACGCCGUUAAACCCCCAACUUCUGAACGUUUGACCUCGGAUCAGGUAGGAAUACCCACUGAACUUAAGCAUAUCAAUAAGCGGAGGA